This 281-nucleotide long non-coding RNA is filed under the name Lathyrus oleraceus (garden pea). Its description in RNAcentral is "Pisum sativum (pea) long non-coding RNA (PSAT_LNC039633)". Lineage: Eukaryota; Viridiplantae; Streptophyta; Magnoliopsida; Fabales; Fabaceae. The record is from RNAcentral.
AAGGACCUAGACCAGGUCAAAAGGAGGUCGAUGGGGAAUGAGAUUGUCGAAGUCGAAGCGAAGCAAGCAAAAACGAUGCAAUCGGUUGAGCAGAAUGUGGGUGCAAUUGCAAAGGAGAACGUGGGUGCAAUUGCAAAGCACGUGGGGUUGCAGGUUCACAUGCGUGGCACACUGUAGAUGGUCAGUCAUGUAGGAAUUAUUUUUUUAUUAUUAUUUAAGGAGAUUUGAUUUCUAGUUCAAGGGGAGGUAUUUGUAACAUUGCAAAGGAAAAACACUCAAAG